This 423-nucleotide non-coding RNA is filed under the name Phaethon lepturus (White-tailed tropicbird). RNAcentral describes it as "Eukaryotic large subunit ribosomal RNA". It matches the Rfam family "Eukaryotic large subunit ribosomal RNA", at positions 3006 to 3399 of the family's 3401-position model. Lineage: Eukaryota; Metazoa; Chordata; Aves; Phaethontiformes; Phaethontidae. The record is from Rfam by way of RNAcentral.
UGUUGUUGCAAUAGUAUUCCUGUUCAGUAGGAGAGGAACUGCAGAUUCAGACCCCUGGUGCAUGCAUUUCGCUGAGGAGCCACUGACAUGAGGCUACCAUCUGCAGGCUUAUGACUGAAUGCCUCUAAGUCAAAACCCCACCUAGACGUAGCAAUACCAUGGUGCCACCAGCACCUCAUUGGGCUCGUGAUAGUCUCCUGCCUGCCCCACAUGGGGCGGGCCCGGUGUGAACCACUGCUCGUGGUUGAGACUGGAGAGGUGGACAGAUGUGGCGCUGCCUCUCCUCUGUCAUGUACCACAUGAUCAUGGGGCACCCAGUGCUAAAUCAUUCAUAGACAACCAGAAUCUGGGUCAGGGUUUCAUACGUAGCAGACCUGCUCCCUUGCUGUGAUCUAUUGAGAAUCACCUGUCAACACAAGCUUU